This 253-nucleotide ribosomal RNA is filed under the name uncultured bacterium. RNAcentral describes it as "partial 16S ribosomal RNA". It matches the Rfam family "Bacterial small subunit ribosomal RNA", at positions 524 to 776 of the family's 1533-position model. The record is from RNAcentral.
UACGAGGGGAGCGAGCGUUGUUCGGAAUUAUUGGGCGUAAAGGGUGCGUAGGCGGUUUGGUAAGUCUUAUGUGAAAUCUACAGGCUCAACUUGUAGUCUGCAUGAGAAACUGCCGGGCUUGAGUGUGGGAGAGGUGAGUGGAAUUCCUGGUGUAGCGGUGAAAUGCGUAGAUAUCAGGAGGAACACCUGUGGCGAAAGCGGCUCACUGGACCAUAACUGACGCUGAUGCACGAAAGCUAGGGGAGCAAACAGG